GAUGAACGCUAGCGGCAGGCUUAAUACAUGCAAGUCGUGGGGCAGCAUGAAGUAGCAAUACUUUGAUGGCGACCGGCAAACGGGUGCGGAACACGUACACAACCUUCCUUUUAGUGGGGAAUAGCUCAGAGAAAUUUGGAUUAAUACCCCGUAGCAUAGCGAUGUGGCAUCACAUUGCUAUUAUAGCUUCGGCGCUAGAUGAUGGGUGUGCGUAUGAUUAGAUAGUUGGCGAGGUAACGGCUCACCAAGUCUACGAUCAUUAGCUGAUGUGAGAGCGUGAUCAGGCACAAGGGCACUGAGACACGGGCACGACGCCUACGGGAGGCAGCAGUAAGGAAUAUUGGUAAAGGGACGAAAGUCUGAACCAGCCAUGCCGCGUGAAUGAUUAAGGUCCCCUGGAUUGUAAACUUCUUUUAUAUGGGACGAAAAAAGGUCUUUCUAGAUCACUUGACGGUACCAUAUGAAUAAGCACCGGCUAACUCCGUGCCAGCCGCCGCAGUAA
Molecule: ribosomal RNA, 502 nt
Filed under: uncultured bacterium
Lineage: Bacteria
Description: partial 16S ribosomal RNA
Rfam family: Bacterial small subunit ribosomal RNA
Source: RNAcentral